Molecule: long non-coding RNA, 1505 nt
Filed under: Nicotiana tabacum (common tobacco)
Lineage: Eukaryota; Viridiplantae; Streptophyta; Magnoliopsida; Solanales; Solanaceae
Description: long non-coding RNA (NTAB_LNC011320)
Source: RNAcentral
CCUAAUGCUGACUAAAGGAAAAAGUUCAGUUUAGGGUUUAAAACCCUAAUGCUGAUUGCAUGGAAAAGCUCAGUUCAGGGUUUAAAACCCUAAUGCUGGCUGAAUGGAAAAAAGUUCAGUUUAGGGUUUAAAACCCUAAUGCUGACUAAAGGAAAAAUUAAGUUUAGGGAUUAAAACCUUAAUGCUGAUUGCAUGGAAGAGCUCAGUUUAGGGUUUAAAACCCUAAUGCUGGCUAAAGUAAAAAUUCAGUUUAGGGUUUAAAACCCUAAUGCUGACUAAAGGAAAAAUUCAGUUUAGGGUUUUAAAACCCUAAUGCUGAUUAAAGAAAAUAUUCAGUUUAGGGUUUAAAACCCUAAUGCAGACUAAAGGAAAAAUUCAGUUUAGGGUUUUAAAACCCUAAUGCUGACUGAAAGGAAAAAUUCAGUUUAGUGUUUAAAACCCUAAUGCUGACUGGAAGGAAAAGCUCAGUUUAGGGUUUAAAACUCUAAUGCUGGCUGAAUGGAAAAAGUUCAGUUUAGGGUUUAAAACCCUAAGGCUGAUUAAAGGAAAAAGUUCAGUUCAGGGUUUAAAACCUUAAUGCUGACUAAAGGAAAGAGUUCAGUUUAGGGUUUAAAACCCUAAUGCUGACAUGCAUGGAAAAAGUUCAGUUUAGGGACCCUAAGGCUGAUUAAAGGAAAAAGUUCAGUUCGGGGUUUUAAACCCUAAUGCUGAUUGCUGGAAAAGCUCCGUUUUGGGUUUAAAACCCUAAUGCUGGCUGAAAUGAAAAAGUUCAGUUUAGGGUUUAAAACCCUAAUGCUGACUAAAAGGAAAAUUCAGUUUAGGGUUUAAAACCCUAAUGCUGAUGGCUGGGGACAAAAUUCGAGAACAACCGCUGACUUCUUUUUUAUUGAAUUUUCUUAGUUUAGUAAAAGAAUAAAGGGAGUUUCGUGGAAACUUACCUUUCGAGUGAAUUCCUUAUUGUCAAAAUGUUUCUUGUACCCAUGUACCUUCUUCUUUGGGCGACACCUGCUUCUUGUACGGUUGUCUUGGAUUAAGCCUGUUUGAACUUUUCAGACAAAGAAAAUUUGUUAGUUCGGAAAAUGAUUGUCGGUUUGGUGACCUUGAUCGUUCCCGGUUGCCUUGUUGCAUCUUCAUUUCUGUUGCGAAGUCCCGCUAUUGAUUUGAUUCAUAUGUCGGAACCCUUUAGACUGCUCAGGCUUGCAUUUCCAGAUUCUGUGAUGAUUUGCCUCGUAAGGCUCUUUUUCUUUUCUCUCUUUUUGUCCCGUUUUGAUUGGAGGUUCUCAACGGGGAUUUUAUUGGAGGUGUUCUGUGGGAAUUUAUACAAAAGGAAGCUCUGUGGGGGAAUUUUUACAAAGUGGAUUCUUUGUGUGGAUUUUGUACAAUGGGGCAUGCUGGGUAUUUGUUUCAAAGCGAGUUUUCCAGGGUUUGUUGGGGUAAGCUUGUUGGGGAAUAUUUACAAAGGGACUCGCUGGGGAAUGUGCUGAGGAAAUUCCAACGGGGAUUUU